Molecule: ribosomal RNA, 1123 nt
Filed under: uncultured bacterium
Lineage: Bacteria
Description: bacterial SSU rRNA
Rfam family: Bacterial small subunit ribosomal RNA
Source: RNAcentral
AUUGAUUUUAUGCUUGCAUAAAUGAUUUUUGGAUUCGGAGCGAGUGGCGAACUGGUGAGUAACACGUGGGUAACCUGCCCCGAAGCGGGGGAUAACAUUUGGAAACAAGUGCUAAUACCGCAUAAUUAGUUGGAACCGCAUGGUUCCAACUUGAAAGAUGGCUCUGCUAUCACUUUGGGAUGGACCCGCGCCGUAUUAGUUAGUUGGUGAGAUAAAAGCCCACCAAGACGAUGAUACGUAGCCGACCUGAGAGGGUAAUCGGCCACAUUGGGACUGAGACACGGCCCAGACUCCUACGGGAGGCAGCAGUAGGGAAUCUUCCACAAUGGACGAGAGUCUGAUGGAGCAACGCCGCGUGAGUGAUGAAGGUUUUCGGAUCGUAAAACUCUGUUGUUAAAGAAGAACAAGUGUUAGAGUAACUGUUAACACUUUGACGGUAUUUAACCAGAAAGCCACGGCUAACUACGUGCCAGCAGCCGCGGUAAUACGUAGGUGGCAAGCGUUGUCCGGAUUUAUUGGGCGUAAAGCGAGCGCAGGCGGUUUUGUAAGUCUGCUGUGAAAGCCCUCAGCUCAACUGAGGAAGUGCAGUGGAAACUACAAAACUUGAGUACAGAAGAGGAAAGUGGAACUCCAUGUGUAGCGGUGAAAUGCGUAGAUAUAUGGAAGAACACCAGUGGCGAAGGCGGCUUUCUGGUCUGUUACUGACGCUGAGGCUCGAAAGCAUGGGUAGCGAACAGGAUUAGAUACCCUGGUAGUCCAUGCCGUAAACGAUGAAUACUAGGUGUUGGAGGGUUUCCGCCCUUCAGUGCCGCAGCUAACGCAUUAAGUAUUCCGCCUGGGGGGUACGACCGCAAGGUUGAAACUCAAAGGAAUUGACGGGGGCCCGCACAAGUGGUGGAGCAUGUGGUUUAAUUCGAUGCUACGCGAAGAACCUUACCAGCUCUUGACAUCUUCUGCCAACCCAAGAGAUUGGGCGUUCCCUUCGGGGACAGAAUGACAGGUGGUGCAUGGUUGUCGUCAGCUCGUGUCGUGAGAUGUUGGGUUAAGUCCCGCAACGAGCGCAACCCUUAUUAUUAGUUGCCAGCAUUUAGUUGGGCACUCUAGUGAGACUGCCGGUGAUAAA